UGGGGAAUAUUGCACAAUGGGGGAAACCCUGAUGCAGCAACGCCGCGUGAAGGAAGACGGUUUUCGGAUUGUAAACUUCUGUUCUUAGUGAAGAAGAAUGACGGUAGCUAAGGAGCAAGCCACGGCUAACUACGUGCC
RNAcentral lists this ribosomal RNA (138 nucleotides) under uncultured bacterium. RNAcentral describes it as "partial 16S ribosomal RNA". It matches the Rfam family "Bacterial small subunit ribosomal RNA", at positions 355 to 509 of the family's 1533-position model. The record is from RNAcentral.